This is a non-coding RNA of Eimeria brunetti, 1895 nucleotides long. The record is from Rfam. Lineage: Eukaryota; Apicomplexa; Conoidasida; Eucoccidiorida; Eimeriidae.
AAGAUAUUAAUGUGAAAAGCGUGAGUCCCGUUUUUGCCACACAAAGUGUAACCUCUAGAGGCGUGGUCAGCGGGAGGGCAGCACUAAGUUUCUUGAAGCAGGCCUUAAGGUAGGACGGCAGUGCUGUCCUUUGCCUUGCUUGCUGUUUCACAAGUACUUCAAGGCUUUUCUCUGUCGCGUUUAUUGGGAUUUGAGCGGAAAGUUUGUGGCAAGUUUCACGGAAAGUUAGAUAUUGACGUGAGACCGAAAGCGAACAAGUAUAGCCGAGGAAAGGUGGAAAUGCCCUUGGAAAGUGAUAAUAGUGUCUGAGAGUGCUGGGGGGGAGGAGGUCGGAACCUUCGUGUUUCCGGGUUGAUGGUGGGUUGCAAUGGUCGUCUCUGCCAUGCCUUCUUCAUAGGGGUUGGGGGCGCGCGUUACUGCUGUUGUCCAUUAUGACCCCUGGUUGCUGGUCAGCAUUAGCGGGAGCCUAACUGUUCUACGCAAGCAAGGUAGGUCCCUCAUGAGCUAUUAUAGCGUUUGGGUUCGUGUCGUUCAGGUGUCUGUUGAGAUGUGUUUUCGGCGUUCGGUGGCAACGCUUUCGAGCAGCGUCGUUAUGCGAUGCUGUCCCAUACGGUUUCAGCCAACCCGUCGUGAAGCACGGACCAAGGAGUCUAGCAUCUGCGCGAGUAUGACAGUAGAAACCCUGUAUGCACUGUGAAAGUCAGAGUAGGGAGAUGUUUGCCUCUGGCACGUUCCGCAUCUACGACAGCCACGAGCUCUGUGAGAGAUUUGAGUUGUAGCACAUCUGUUAGGACCAGAUAUAUGGUGAACUAUGACUGAGUAGGAUGAAGUCAGGCGAAAGCCUGAUGGAAGCUCGUAGCGAUAGUGACGUGCAAAUCGUUCGUCAAACUUGGGUAUAGAGGCGAGAAACUAAUCGAAUCGUCUAGUAGCUGGUUUCUCCCAAAGUAUCUCUCAGGAUAACUGGAGUCCAAUUAGUCUUAUCAGGUAAACCGGACAAUUGGAUUUUUUGCGGGCGAGUUACUCCCGACCUAUUCUCAAGUUUUAAAUGAGUUAGAUUCAGUGGUUACCUCGUUGAACUGCUGAAGCUAAUAUUAGCUUCAGCAGUUGAGCUCCAUGGGGCAUUUUUGGUAAAAAAACUGGCGAUGUGAGAUGCUCCUGACGUUCGGUUAAGGAGUCUAAAUACUGGCUCAGACACCACAAGAUGUUUUAGAUCAUUUUUACCAGCAGGAUGGUGGUCAUGGAAGUCCAAAUCCGCUAAGAAGUGUGCAACAACUUACGUUCCGAGUGAACCAGCCCUCAAAUGCUGCGGCAGGCUGCCGGUACCAGGCCAUUAUGGCAGGUUUCGAGAACUCGAGGUUUUGCAAUAAUGAGUAGGAAGACGUGGGGACCGUUCCGAAGUAUUUGGCGACUGCCUGUGUUGAACGGCCUCUAGUAGAUGUUGGCUGCAAUAGCAAAUAUUCAAGUGAUAACUUUGAAGACUGAAGCGCAGAAGGGUUCCAUGCUAACAGCAAUUGGACAUGAUUUAGCCUGUCGUGAGUGACAGCUUAACUGCGGGAAUUUCUGGGUUUUACUGUCCCUGUUUUUUGAGGAAGGGAAUCAGUAUAAUAUUCCUUUCCUGAGUCAAAACUUGGGAAGUGUGCGGUAUCGUACAUGAACUCCUCGACGCAAGCGGGCUCCCUGGGAAGCGUCGUUUUGACCUCUUAACAACAUCUUUUCAAACAUACCCUGCAGUCAGAUUUUCUGAAGGUAGGGUUGAGUGGUUGUCAAUGGUUCGUGGCCUUCAGGGAGUCUGGUGCGCUCCUGACCUCUCUUCAAAAGAGAAGGGAAAGUUGUGGUUUGCACCCCUGGCCGCAUCAUUAACCCCAUCUGGCCUCCAAGGUUAGUAUCCUCUGAUC